RNAcentral lists this ribosomal RNA (1275 nucleotides) under Triticum aestivum (bread wheat). Its description in RNAcentral is "partial small subunit ribosomal RNA". Lineage: Eukaryota; Viridiplantae; Streptophyta; Magnoliopsida; Poales; Poaceae. The record is from RNAcentral.
AUGGGUCAAAUAAAAGAGUUGUAUGAGGGUGACGAAGACUUUGGCCAUGUUUGGGUAAAGCACGCAAGGGGCCAACCAUUAGGUGAUGACUAUUUGAUGCAAGAUGGAUAUCUCUUCGAAAAUGAUCGUUUGUGCAUUCCAAGAAGUUCUCUAUGUGACAAGCUGGUUAGAGAGCUCCAUUCAAGUGAUCUUAGUGGCCAUGUUGGACGGGACAAGACUAUCGCUAACCUGGAAGCUCGUUACUUUUGGCCACAACUAAAGAGAGAUGCUGGAAAGUUCAUUCAACGGUGCCCCGUAUGUCAGACCUGCAAAGGCCAAGUCCAGAACACAGGGUUAUACAUGCCUUUGCAUGUUCCUGUUGCUCCAUGGGAGGACAUUUCUAUGGACUUCGUCUUGGGCUUGCCAAGAACAAGACGAGGAAGUGAUGCUGUAUUUGUGGUCGUGGAUAGAUUCUCUAAGAUGGCUCAUUUCAUCCCAUGCCGCAAAACAACGGAUGCUCAUCAUGUGGCAAACCUAUUCUUUCGAGAAGUGGUCAGACUUCAUGGAUUUCCAAGGUCCAUUGUCUCAGACCGUGAUAGCAAGUUUCUUGCUGCAUUUUGGCUCACUUUGUGGAAGCAAUUCAACACUGAAUUGAAAUUGUCUAGCACUGCUCAUCCACAAACAGAUGGACAAACGGAAGUGGUGAACAAGUUUUUGGGUAAUCUGAUCCGUUGCAUUUGUGGAGAAAGAAAGGGGCAAUGGGAUUUGGCUUUAUCUCUUGCAGAGUUCUCCUACAAUAACUCCAAGCAUAGAUCCACAGGAAGGAGCCCUUUUUCCAUUGUCUACACUAAAGUUCCAACACAUGUGGUGGACCUGGUGAAGCUGCCAUCAAGGGGAAACUCAAAAUCAGCAUUGUCCUUUGCUGAUAAUUACACCGAGUUAUUUGAAGAGAUUCGCGGCGCUUUGGAAGCACAAAAUCAGAAAUAUAAACAACUUGCUGAUUGCAAAAAGAGGCCGAAAUCAUUCCAAGUCGGUGAUAAGGUGAUGGUCUACCUCCGAAAAGAGAGGCUGCCUUUAGGUGUUAAAGGGAAACUUAGGCAGCGAAGGUAUGGGCCCUUCUCUAUCAUGAGGAAGAUAAAUGAUAAUGCUUAUGUGAUAGAUCUUCCAAGUGACAUGGGUAUCUCCAACACUUUCAAUGUUGCGGACUUGACUCUCUACCAUCCAGAAGAAGCACUCUAUAAAGAUACCUCGAGGGCGAGUUCCAAACAACCAGGGGAGAAUGAUGAGGAACACUAG